Long non-coding RNA from Anolis carolinensis (green anole), 1640 nucleotides. RefSeq lists it as uncharacterized. Lineage: Eukaryota; Metazoa; Chordata; Lepidosauria; Squamata; Anolidae. The record is from RefSeq and is a predicted model, not a curated record. The transcript has 2 exons.
GGCGUCCGGCAGCCAUACCUACAGACGCCCGUGGAAGGAACAGAUUUAUUUCACAGAGCACCACCAUGGUUUUCCCUGGAGAAUUUUCUGGGUGUAACACAUCCUAUUCCACCAGUCUCCCACCAUCAACGGUUUUAAUACAACCACCGUCCUACGUGGCAGAGACAUCGCUGACAGACUUGGAGAUCAUCCUCCCAGAACCAUCGCCAUUUGAACAUCCAGAAUACGGUUUCCAUAAUUACCACGUACCUCCACUGUACUGCCACCUGCCUCCUGAACAACCCUUGUUCCUUGCCUCUUUCCUCACUGUAUUACACCAGGUGUAAACUCUGUGUCUUUCAACCCACUGAUUUCUGGCAAGGAAGUGGCGAGAGAAGGGCCCAAGUGAAGAAACUGAUGGAGGUGGGGGAAGACUCAGGUUAGACUAGUGGCUUUUUGGUGAGAGGGGCAACAAUGUAAAUCUGAGCUCACAAAUUUUAUGGAGAUCAGUGGUUCGGGACAAGGCUCAGUCGCCCUUGUCCUUUUUUGUACAUUAACUGAGCAACAGUUUUGAGGAGAGAUGAAAAUAAUACAAUGGAUACUGUGAAUUACAGUUUCACCCUGGGUCUUUUUCUCUUCUUUUUUUCCAAUGGGACAAAUUCAUUAGUUAUACGUUCCAGAAAACAUGGCUUUAUGGGCAGAAUGAAAAGGCGGUAAAGAAUUUUAACAGCAGUAAUGUCCUGGGCCCAUAACCUGUUAGAGUAUAUGCAGCAUUUUGAGGUCUUGAUUUAAGGAGCAAACCCAAUGCUUUACUGUAGGACCUCCAUUCUAAGAAAGCAACAUUACUAAUGAUAUAACCUAGCUGCAUCUUGUAAAGUUGAAAGAGGACUCAUAGGAAGAAGAAGAAAUGGAGAAACAUCACUAGAUUGGUAGGAUUGGUAGACAUAAAGAGACAUUUCAGGUCACUUAGACUAUCUAAGUCUAUUACUACUUCCCACUGUGAGAGAUCCUUCACUCUUCAGAGCCAAGCAUUAUUACAUUUCCAAGGUCAUCAGCAGAAAUCCCAGUCUUCUGUUUUCUGAGAGAUCUUGGUUUAUAUACUUAAUGUCUUAUCACAGCGGUUCUCAACCUAUCAGUCCCCAAGUGUUUUGGCCUACAACUCCCAGAAAUCCCAGCCAGUUUACCAGUUGUUAGGAUUUCUGGGAGUUGAAGGCCGAAACAUCUGGGGAGCCACAAGUUGAGAACCACUGUCAUCAGGUCAUAGAGGUGAAAAGGGACCACAGGGUCAACUAAUUCAAUCCAUUGUCAAUACAUUAAAGUGCCUUGGAAAGAUGGGCAUUGGACUUGUAUUCAGAAAAACGUCAAUGAAAAGGGAGUCUGGUGACUUCAGAGAUUGUCCUUUGUCACUGUUGAACAGCUCUUACCAUCAGAUAGUUGUUACACAAUCAACUGGUUUGGAUCCUGCGUUCUAUGGCACCAGCAGACAAAGAUCGAUCCCUCUUGAGGACAACACUUCUUCUAACUUGAAGAUGGAUCGCAUAUCAUAUCUUAUUCUUCUGUUCUCCAAGAGAACAAACCCACAUGUUUACCCAUUCCCACCAGAGUUCGAUUACUUUCCCCCCAUCAUUAAAGUGUGGUUUUUUCAUCAAUGAGACAAACUA